UUGGGGAUGUAGCUCAGUGGUAGACCACUCACCUAAUCAUGUGUGAGGCCCUGGGUUUGAUUCCCAGUGCCAAAA
This 75-nucleotide transfer RNA is filed under the name Marmota monax (woodchuck). RNAcentral's name for it is "tRNA.Undet". The record is from RNAcentral. Lineage: Eukaryota; Metazoa; Chordata; Mammalia; Rodentia; Sciuridae.